UCAUAAAAAUAGAUCUGACUUUCUACUUUGGGAUUUUCGUUUCUAUAAGGAAAUAUUUUGACCAUAUUGGCACUAAUUUUCCAGUCCCUAUAUUAAUAAUUAGCCCUUAACAUUGAAGAUGCUAAAUGUCCUGAAAUAUGCACUUGAAUGACAACUUUACCUGAUUAUGAUAAGAAUAAAAAUUAACUAUGAGGUCUCGGACUCAAAUCCCAGCAGAGACAAAAACACUAGGUGAUUUCUUCCCGUCUGUCCUAGUCUUUGAGGAUGGAGUUACCUGGUAGCUGUUGCUGGUGGGAGGUGACAGGUAUCCCGUGAAAAAUAGUCGAGGUGUGCGCAAGAUGGCCCGGACGACACGGUUAUCAAAAAAAAAUUUAGUGCAAAUGUGCACUAUUUUGGUGCCUCUGGAUGGCGCCAAUGGUAGACUUUUCCUAGAUAGUUUCCUUUUUGUUGAUUAUGUUUGGGAAGAAGGCUACAUAUCAACACUGAGAAAUACUGUUCGGUCACGUGCCUGGGGGCCUGCAAUUGGUUACAGCUACCAAGUUGAGCGGUGCCAUGUUGUGAAGAAUGCAUUAUGACAACAACGAUUUGUACGUGAAGUAAUAAUUCAGUUCAACCUUUGCAACGAGCCUUGGUAUGUUAUUUUAUAUUUCUUGGAGAGUUUAGUUCUUGACUAAAAUCUGUUUCUUACUCUGUUUUUAUCGAAUUUGGCACAAAAUUGCUGGACAAUGGUACUUUCAACUUAUUGCUGCAGUCUGGGAAGAUUUUAGUUUUCACUAUGAUGUUUCUUAACCUAGACGCUCCAAAAGUUCUCUUCAAUUUGUUCCAUGAUAUUUAAGCAGAUUCAGGAAGGGUUUGCCUGCAAUCUUCAUCCUUAUUCUGAAUUCCCACUGCUCUUCCUAAAAUUGUUGAAUAGAGUGUAGGACUAGAAGUGUUAUUUUGAAGCAGUAAGGAUGACAUGUUGAAGUAUCAUUCAGUCUUCUUAAGCUGGAUAUGCACAUGGUUUUGAUCUGUUCUCGGGACCUAAGGACUUUUCUAAUACUAAGGCCUUGGUAUUAAUGCUAGAAUUUUACUUGGAUCUCUGUUUCCUUCUGUUGGUAGAUCUAAAUUCAGUUACGAAGUCAUUGAUUGAUCUAUAUUUUCAAAGGAAGUAGGAGAACUAAGAGAAUAAGCUUUUCCUAUGCCUGAAGCUCUUACCUUAACUUUUGUGGAUUUUAAGGUUCACAUUUACUUACUGCUGAACGUUCCUUACCAGGAUGAAAUACAGCAUCAGUGUUGUUGCUGACAAGGGUCUGACAAAGCCUCUUUUCACAUCUUCGCGUCUGAAGAAGGGAGAAGUUUUGUAUCCGGAGACCCGUUCCCGGAGGUACAAACUGAGCCUUUUCUGUUUGGUGCGAUCUCAAGCUAAGCUAUAAAUUGCCUGUGAAGAGCUGUUUGGAUGCUCAUUCUUUGUUUUUCACUAUAAAUUAUGGCAUACUGAUGCAUUUGAUGACUCAUUUUGAGGAAAAAUAGAGCUGAGACGAAAGUGCUCUUGAAUUUCUCUGUGCUUUUGCGGCCAGGGGGCCAAGAAGAUAAAAAUAAGGACCAAAGAAAAUGGGGCAGAUGUGACUCGAAGAUAUUCUCUUUCUUUCUUUCUUUCUUCUACUUUUGCUUCUUUGGUUUGAGUAUAGAGUCGGAGGAGCCAAAUUGAAUCUUUUGAUAAGCCUAGUUGUUAAUUGAUGUUAUGUUCGUAUUCUUUGAGAGAUUUUGAUGACCUUAGCUAACUAUGCUGCCAAGUCUUAGAUGACCUUACGUCCAUUUGUUUACAUUUUGUUCGUAAGCUCCAUUUUCCUUUACCGACUGACAGGUUAAUUAAUUCAAGGUAUGAGCUUUUCUUUAAUGGAGAAAAAUUGGUAAAGGCUACUUCAGCAUCACAUACGCCUGAGAUGGAUGGUGACAAACCUCAUGUGGCAAAUGGGGAAAAAUGUGGUGGAUAGUGAAAGUAUCAUCGUUGACGUGUUUAAGUGGUCUGCUGUAAAAGGCCUUUACCCCAGGAGCUAAUGCUAUCAAUUGGGAUUCCUUUGCCCCUUCAACAUGUCGAGGUUCUGCAGGACAAUCUGGAAUGGGAGGACAUUCAAUGGUCGCAAACCGGUGUCUGGAUUGCUGGAAAAGAAUAUGUUCUUGCUAGGGCACAUUUUCUUUCCCCAAAUUAGUUUGUUAGAAAUGUACUAACUUGAUACUGAACAUCAGUAAAGUAACGCACUGCUAAAUGGAAACUGAUUAUUGGCAAACAACAUUAAUCUGUUUCCAAGUUUCACUUUCUUGUUGUAGUGUGUAUUUUACAUGUUAAGUGUCUACCUAUGAGAAAGUAAUGCAGAAUCAGUGGGAAAAGAAUGAGAAACAACAGUUGUUACUCUUCUUAGCCA
Lycium ferocissimum is the source of this 2402-nucleotide long non-coding RNA. RefSeq lists it as uncharacterized. The record is from RefSeq and is a predicted model, not a curated record. The transcript has 4 exons. Lineage: Eukaryota; Viridiplantae; Streptophyta; Magnoliopsida; Solanales; Solanaceae.